This 871-nucleotide long non-coding RNA is filed under the name Equus caballus (horse). Its description in RNAcentral is "lncRNA (ENSECAG00000055143.1)". Lineage: Eukaryota; Metazoa; Chordata; Mammalia; Perissodactyla; Equidae. The record is from RNAcentral.
AUCGGGUACUGAAAAUAACCGCUUUGCUUCAAGUUAGGAAUUGAAAAUAGGUCCAUUAAUCUUUUGGGCUACCAGGUGAUAAUUUGGUCAUUUCUGUUUUGGCCAAAAAGAAAAAAAGAAAAAAAUCAGAAAUGAUGCAAGACUGAACUAGUAAAAGUCCCUUGGCCUACCCACCACUUCUGUUUUUUUUCACAUUGUAGCAGCUCAGAGGCAGUCUUUCAAUCUAAAAUAAAUACUUUCGGGUCCUAUCAUCCCAGUAUCAAAAGACUCAGUCUGCUACAAGCUCUGUGAAAUGUCUCUUUAUCUCCAUUUGAUACGUGUGGGCAGCUUUUAAAAACCCAUGGCAAAAACAAAUACCCUGAGCAGGGCUAAACUAGACCUAAUAAAUGGGCUUUUCAUGUUUAAUAAACUUAAGCUCUGCUAAGAACAAUAAAGGAAAUCUUAUAGAACAAGAAAAAAAACUCAACGUAUCAGGACACAUCAACUAACACAUCCCUUUCUAUUCCUACUUUUUGUUUGCAACUUACUGUCUCCAAGGCAAGAAAAGUGGUGGACAAAAUGAGGAGGAGCCAUUUGUGUUCAAAGACCCUCUGGUCUAGUAGGUAAGAGAGGAUCUUCUACUGAUACAGGCUGGGGAUUGAGAAGGACUCGCAAGCCCUUCAAAGGACAAUGAAACACAAGAACGUACUAGUAGUGAUUAUAGAUUUAUUUUCAUCUGAGUACUUUUCUGUAUCUUUCAAAUUUUCUGUAGAAAGCAUAUAUAGAUUUUAUUUAAAAAUAUAAAAAAAAAACCAAUAGCAGGUACAGACUGCAAAAUGAAAAACAAAUGAAUAAAUAGGAAGGGAGAAACAAAGAUUUGAAGGUCUAUCUU